AGCCUGAACGCUGGCGGCGUGGCUAAGACAUGCAAGUCGCACGGGCCCGCAAGGGUCAGUGGCGAACGGGUGAGUAAUGAAUCGCUAACGUACCCCGGACUCUGGGAUAGCCGGCCGAAAGGCCGGGUAAUACCAGUAUAAUGUAACUUUGUCGCAUGACAGGGUUCCCAAAGGUCCGCC
This 180-nucleotide ribosomal RNA is filed under the name uncultured soil bacterium. RNAcentral's name for it is "partial 16S ribosomal RNA". It matches the Rfam family "Bacterial small subunit ribosomal RNA", at positions 26 to 216 of the family's 1533-position model. The record is from RNAcentral.